Molecule: transfer RNA, 82 nt
Filed under: Nitrospirae bacterium RIFCSPHIGHO2_01_FULL_66_17
Lineage: Bacteria; Pseudomonadati; Nitrospirota
Description: tRNA-Leu
Rfam family: tRNA
About the family: Transfer RNA (tRNA) molecules are approximately 80 nucleotides in length. Their secondary structure includes four short double-helical elements and three loops (D, anti-codon, and T loops). Further hydrogen bonds mediate the characteristic L-shaped molecular structure. tRNAs have two regions of fundamental functional importance: the anti-codon, which is responsible for specific mRNA codon recognition, and the 3' end, to which the tRNAs corresponding amino acid is attached (by aminoacyl-tRNA synthetases). tRNAs cope with the degeneracy of the genetic code in two manners: having more than one tRNA (with a specific anti-codon) for a particular amino acid; and 'wobble' base-pairing, i.e. permitting non-standard base-pairing at the 3rd anti-codon position.
Source: RNAcentral
GCGAGAGUGGCGGAAUUGGCAGACGCGCCAGACUUAGGAUCUGGUGGGUCACCCCGUGGGGGUUCAAAUCCCCCCUCUCGCA